CGCGUAGGAAUCUACCUGGUAGUGGGGACGAACUUGUGGAAACGCAAGCUAAUACCGCAUACGCCCUAAGGGGAAAAGCGGGGAGUCUUCGGACCUCGCGCUAUCGGAUGAGCCUGCGUAGGAUUAGCUAGUUGGUGAGGUAAAAGCUCACCAAGGCGACGAUCCUUAGCUGGUCUGAGAGGAUGAUCAGCCACACUGGGACUGAGACACGGCCCAGACUCCUACGGGAGGCAGCAGUGGGGAAUAUUGCGCAAUGGGGGCAACCCUGACGCAGCCAUGCCGCGUGUGUGAAGAAGGCCC
RNAcentral lists this ribosomal RNA (300 nucleotides) under uncultured Alteromonadales bacterium. Its description in RNAcentral is "bacterial SSU rRNA". It matches the Rfam family "Bacterial small subunit ribosomal RNA", at positions 114 to 417 of the family's 1533-position model. The record is from RNAcentral. Lineage: Bacteria; Pseudomonadati; Pseudomonadota; Gammaproteobacteria; Alteromonadales.